GAUGAACGCUGGCGGCGUGCCUAAUACAUGCAAGUCGAGCGAACAGACGAGGAGCUUGCUCUUCUGACGUUAGCGGCGGGCGGGUGAGUAACACGUGGAUAACCUACCUAUAAGACUGGGAUAACUUCGGGAAACCGGAGCUAAUACCGGAUAAUAUAUUGAACCGCAUGGUUCAAUAGUUAAAGACGGUUUUGCUGUCACUUAUAGAUGGAUCCGCGCUGCAUGAGCUAGUUGGUAAGGUAACGGCUUACCAAGGCAACGAUGCGUAGCCGACCUGGGAGGGUGAUCGGCCACACUGGAACUGAGACACGGUCCAGACUCCUACGGGAGGCAGCAGUAGGGAAUCUUCCGCAAUGGGCGAAAGCUUGACGGAGCAACGCCGCGUGAGUGAUGAAGGUCUUCGGAUCGUAAAACUCUGUUAUUAGGGAAGAACAAAUGUGUAAGUAACUAUGCACGUCUUGACGGUACCUAAUCAGAAAGCCACGGCUAACUACGUG
RNAcentral lists this ribosomal RNA (497 nucleotides) under uncultured bacterium. Its description in RNAcentral is "partial 16S ribosomal RNA". It matches the Rfam family "Bacterial small subunit ribosomal RNA", at positions 28 to 507 of the family's 1533-position model. The record is from RNAcentral.